This is a non-coding RNA of Drosophila melanogaster (fruit fly), 113 nucleotides long. The record is from Ensembl. Lineage: Eukaryota; Metazoa; Arthropoda; Insecta; Diptera; Drosophilidae.
CGGGAGAGGAUUAUGAAAGACAAUUUGAAAUUAAAUAUCUGUGUGUGAAAUUAUUUAAAAGAUUAAUUUCACGCGAAGAUAUUUAUUUUUACAUUUGUCCCUAUAAUAACCGG